This 438-nucleotide ribosomal RNA is filed under the name uncultured bacterium. RNAcentral describes it as "bacterial SSU rRNA". It matches the Rfam family "Bacterial small subunit ribosomal RNA", at positions 355 to 787 of the family's 1533-position model. The record is from RNAcentral.
UGAGGAAUAUUGGUCAAUGGGCGGGAGCCUGAACCAGCCAAGCCGCGUGAGGGAAGAAGGCCCUAUGGGUCGUAAACCUCUUUUGUCAGGGAACAAAAGCGAGUAUGUAUACUAGUCUGAGUGUACCUGAAGAAAAACGCAUCGGCUAACUCCGUGCCAGCAGCCGCGGUAAUACGGAGGAUGCGAGCGUUAUCCGGAUUUAUUGGGUUUAAAGGGUGCGUAGGCGGCGAUGCAAGUCAGCGGUAAAACGCCCGGGGUCUCAACCCCGGCGAGCCGUUGAAACUGCAGUGCUAGAGAAGGCGAGAGGUACGCGGAAUGCGCAAGUGUAGCGGUGAAAUGCUUAGAUAUUGCGCAGAACUCCGAUUGCGAAGGCAGCGUACUGGCGCCUGACUGACGCUGAGGCACGAAAGCGUGGGGAUCGAACAGGAUUAGAUACCC